CCGUUAUAACCGGCGAUUUCCGAAUGGGGAAACCCAGUGUGUUUCGACACACUAUCAUUAACUGAAUCCAUAGGUUAAUGAGGCGAACCGGGGGAACUGAAACAUCUAAGUACCCCGAGGAAAAGAAAUCAACCGAGAUUCCCCCAGUAGCGGCGAGCGAACGGGGAGCAGCCCAGAGCCUGAAUCAGUAUGUGUGUUAGUGGAAGCGUCUGGAAAGGCGCGCGAUACAGGGUGACAGCCCCGUACACAAAAAUGCACAUGCUGUGAGCUCGAUGAGUAGGGCGGGACACGUGGUAUCCUGUCUGAAUAUGGGGGGACCAUCCUCCAAGGCUAAAUACUCCUGACUGACCGAUAGUGAACCAGUACCGUGAGGGAAAGGCGAAAAGAACCCCGGCGAGGGGAGUGAAAAAGAACCUGAAACCGUGUACGUACAAGCAGUGGGAGCACGCUUAGGCGUGUGACUGCGUACCUUUUGUAUAAUGGGUCAGCGACUUAUAUUCUGUAGCAAGGUUAACCGAAUAGGGGAGCCGAAGGGAAACCGAGUCUUAACUGGGCGUUAAGUUGCAGGGUAUAGACCCGAAACCCGGUGAUCUAGCCAUGGGCAGGUUGAAGGUUGGGUAACACUAACUGGAGGACCGAACCGACUAAUGUUGAAAAAUUAGCGGAUGACUUGUGGCUGGGGGUGAAAGGCCAAUCAAACCGGGAGAUAGCUGGUUCUCCCCGAAAGCUAUUUAGGUAGCGCCUCGUGAAUUCAUCUCCGGGGGUAGAGCACUGUUUCGGCAAGGGGGUCAUCCCGACUUACCAACCCGAUGCAAACUGCGAAUACCGGAGA
This 832-nucleotide ribosomal RNA is filed under the name Escherichia coli. RNAcentral's name for it is "partial 23S ribosomal RNA". It matches the Rfam family "Bacterial large subunit ribosomal RNA", at positions 95 to 969 of the family's 2925-position model. Lineage: Bacteria; Pseudomonadati; Pseudomonadota; Gammaproteobacteria; Enterobacterales; Enterobacteriaceae. The record is from RNAcentral.